UCUUAAACUGCAGGCCACUACUGUUGCUAAUAUGCAACUCUGUUGUGUAAAAGCUGGAAUUGCACUUUAGCAAUGGUGAUGGACUGUAAGACAUAC
This 96-nucleotide non-coding RNA is filed under the name Chrysemys picta bellii (western painted turtle). RNAcentral describes it as "miRNA (ENSCPBG00000005435.1)". The stretch from base 15 to 82 matches the Rfam family "mir-367 microRNA precursor family". Lineage: Eukaryota; Metazoa; Chordata; Testudines; Emydidae. RNAcentral also lists the same sequence under 1 other name. The record is from RNAcentral.